RNAcentral lists this ribosomal RNA (483 nucleotides) under Streptococcus mitis. RNAcentral's name for it is "bacterial SSU rRNA". It matches the Rfam family "Bacterial small subunit ribosomal RNA", at positions 28 to 498 of the family's 1533-position model. Lineage: Bacteria; Bacillati; Bacillota; Bacilli; Lactobacillales; Streptococcaceae. The record is from RNAcentral.
GACGAACGCGGGCGGCGUGCCUAAUACAUGCAAGUAGAACGCUGAAGGAGGAGCUUGCUCUUCUGGAUGAGUUGCGAACGGGUGAGUAACGCGUAGGUAACCUGCCUGGUAGCGGGGGAUAACUAUUGGAAACGAUAGCUAAUACCGCAUAAGAGUAGAUGUCGCAUGACAUUUGCUUAAAAGGUGCAAUUGCAUCACUACCAGAUGGACCUGCGUUGUAUUAGCUAGUUGGUGAGGUAACGGCUCACCAAGGCAACGAUACAUAGCCGACCUGAGAGGGUGAUCGGCCACACUGGGACUGAGACACGGCCCAGACUCCUACGGGAGGCAGCAGUAGGGAAUCUUCGGCAAUGGACGGAAGUCUGACCGAGCAACGCCGCGUGAGUGAAGAAGGUUUUCGGAUCGUAAAGCUCUGUUGUAAGAGAAGAACGAGUGUGAGAGUGGAAAGUUCACACUGUGACGUAUCUACCAGAAAGGACGGCA